ACAGAUCGUUCAGAGUUUGAUCCUGGCUCAGAUUGAACGCUGGCGGCAUGCCUUACACAUGCAAGUCGAACGGUAACAGGUCUUCGGACGCUGACGAGUGGCGAACGGGUGAGUAAUACAUCGGAACGUGCCCAGUCUGGGGGAUAACUACUCGAAAGAGUAGCUAAUACCGCAUACGAUCUGAGGAUGAAAGCGGGGGACCUUCGGGCCUCGCGCGAUUGGAGCGGCCGAUGGCAGAUUAGGUAGUUGGUGGGAUAAAAGCUUACCAAGCCGACGAUCUGUAGGGGGCCUGAGAGGGUGAUCCUCCACACUGGGACUGAGAUACGGCCCAG
RNAcentral lists this ribosomal RNA (332 nucleotides) under uncultured bacterium. Its description in RNAcentral is "bacterial SSU rRNA". It matches the Rfam family "Bacterial small subunit ribosomal RNA", at positions 1 to 334 of the family's 1533-position model. The record is from RNAcentral.